UCGAGGGGCAGCGGGGGUAGCGAUACCCGCCGGCGACCGGCGCACGGGUGAGUAACGCGUAUGCAACUUGCCUAUCAGAGGGGGAUAACCCGGCGAAAGUCGGACUAAUACCGCAUGAAGCAGGGGCCCCGCAUGGGGAUAUUUGCUAAAGAUUCAUCGCUGAUAGAUAGGCAUGCGUUCCAUUAGGCAGUUGGCGGGGUAACGGCCCACCAAACCGACGAUGGAUAGGGGUUCUGAGAGGAAGGUCCCCCACAUUGGUACUGAGACACGGACCAAACUCCUACGGGAGGCAGCAGUGAGGAAUAUUGGUCAAUGGGCGUAAGCCUGAACCAGCCAAGUCGCGUGAGGGAUGAAGGUUCUAUGGAUCGUAAACCUCUUUUAUAAGGGAAUAAAGUGCGGGACGUGUCCCGUUUUGUAUGUACCUUAUGAAUAAGGAUCGGCUAACUCCGUGCCAGCAGCCGCGGUAAUACGGAGGAUCCGAGCGUUAUCCGGAUUUAUUGGGUUUAAAGGGUGCGUAGGCGGCUUUUUAAGUCAGCGGUGAAAGUCUGUGGCUCAACCAUAGAAUUGCCGUUGAAACUGGGGGGCUUGAGUAUGUUUGAGGCAGGCGGAAUGCGUGGUGUAGCGGUGAAAUGCAUAGAUAUCACGC
This 646-nucleotide ribosomal RNA is filed under the name uncultured bacterium. RNAcentral's name for it is "bacterial SSU rRNA". It matches the Rfam family "Bacterial small subunit ribosomal RNA", at positions 62 to 702 of the family's 1533-position model. The record is from RNAcentral.